This is an RNA transcript of Vespa velutina, 1629 nucleotides long. It is a transcript of the gene named putative gustatory receptor 28b, with no coding region annotated. The transcript has 6 exons. Lineage: Eukaryota; Metazoa; Arthropoda; Insecta; Hymenoptera; Vespidae. The record is from RefSeq and is a predicted model, not a curated record.
UGUUCUCUACUCAUUUCUGUUCUACGAACUUUAAAUAUCAAAUUUCUCGAUUAGUGUGUUCGAAAUAAUUAUUACGUUUGGAGAAAGUGGUGGAGGUGAAAGGAACAAAAUAUGUGAAUCUCUUUUCUCUAUAAAUAUCUUUAAAAUGUCUCUAUCAGCAAAAUUUCGACAUAGUAUCAAACCAUUGAUAAUAAUGAAUUCAAUUUUUACCACUGGUCUGAUCGAAUAUUUCGUUGAUGAUAAGAUUAACGGAAUCGGUAUGGUUCAUGCUUGUUUUUCUAUCAUUUUCUACAUUUCGAUGACCAAUAUCAUUUCAUUUCCCUCGACAACGUUUAAAGAUGAAAAACCACUUCUUAUAAAACUAACAUAUGAGUUAUACGUCUAUAGCGAUUACAUGUAUUACAUUGUCACUAUUAUCGCUGGGAUACUCAGAAGAAAGAAGAUGAGACGUCUCACGUUACAAAUAGAAACUUGUACUCGAACUAUGAAUCAAUUAAAUAUACCGAUGAAUUUAUCUAAAUUUUUUCGGCAACAGUAUUACAUAAUGUUAAUUUCGAUUUUUAUCUUAAUGAGUAUGAUGAUAAUCGAUUAUAAAUGGCUAAAAUUAUUCGAGAGUAGUAUCUGGUUAAUUAUUGUAACAUGUUACAUCGAACGUUAUCCAUUUAUUCUAUUAUUAGUGACCGACAUUACUUUCAUAUUCUGGAUGAGAUAUAUACGGAUAAAAUUUGGUCAAUUGAACGAACUAUUGAAAGACAUGUUAACGACUAAUAUCGAUUCGCCGCAACAUAAAAGAAUCCUUCAAAUGAGAAAUAAUAAGAAGGACGAUUCUCCGUCAUCUGAUAUUCAUCAAACGUAUAAAUGGAAUAAAAACGUUCUGAAGAUUAAUAAAGCCAAGAAAAUACAUCUGGAACUAAUCAAGUGUGCUCAGAAUUUAAACAAUGCGUUUGGCUUACAUAAUUUAAUGUCUGUAUUAACAUCUUUCAUUAUAAUCACUGUUGUGGCUUACAAUCUAUACAAUCACAUAUAUAGCGGGGUCUACUAUACACAACUUUAUCAAUGUUUUACUUUCUUAUAUUGGAUUUGUUAUUUUGGAUUUAAGAUUAUUAUAGUAAGUCAUGUAUGUGAAAAAACUAUUAUAGAGGUAUGUUCUUUAAAUAUUCAUUAUAUUUUUCGCAAAUUUCGACGAAAUAUUGAACGAUAUAAAUAUUGAUGUUAUAUUAUUCUUCUUUACAUGCGACUAAAACCGGAGACAUCAUCUGUGAAUUGUAUGAACCAUCAUCCAGCAAGGAAUUUCGUGCUGAGAUUCGUGACUUCACUCUACAACUUAUUCAAAAUCCAUUGACUUUUACAACCUGCGGUUUUUUUUAUCUCGACCAUACAUUGAUACGUAAUGUGAUCAGUUCCGUCACAACUUAUCUCAUUAUUCUCAUUCAAGUUGGAAACGUACCACAACAAGUUUUCAUUGAAGAUUUGAAUUUAUCAGCUAAAUCAAAGGUUUAAAAUCAUUGUUACGUGUUCUAAACGAUCUACGAAAUACGCUUCGUUUCAUUAUUUUGUAUUGUUACAAAAAAAAAAAAAAAGAAAUGUAAAUUUUCAUUCAUUUAUAAUAAUUCCAAAUACAUUAUACAU